CCUACGGGCGGCAGCAGUGAGGAAUAUUGGUCAAUGGGCGGAAGCCUGAACCAGCCAAGUAGCGUGCGGGAUGAAGGCCUUACGGGUCGUAAACCGCUUUUGCACGGGGAUAACACCCUCCACUUGUGGAGGUCUGCAGGUACCGUGCGAAUAAGGGCCGGCUAAUUCCGUGCCAGCAGCCGCGGUAAUACGGAAGGCCCGAGCGUUAUCCGGAUUCAUUGGGCUUAAAGGGUGCGUAGGCGGGCGUUAAAGUCAGCUGGAAAAUCCCGCGGCUCAACCGCGCCCCGCAGUUGAAACUGGACGCCUUGAGUGCACAACAGGCAGGCGGAAUUCGGGGUGUAGCGGUGAAAUGCAUAGAGAUCACGAGGAACCCCGAUUGCGAAGGCAGCCUGCCGGGGUGCGACUGACGCUGAGGCUCGAAGGUGCGGGUAUCAAACAGGAUUAGAUACCCCUGUAGUC
This 459-nucleotide ribosomal RNA is filed under the name uncultured bacterium. Its description in RNAcentral is "partial 16S ribosomal RNA". It matches the Rfam family "Bacterial small subunit ribosomal RNA", at positions 338 to 795 of the family's 1533-position model. The record is from RNAcentral.